Molecule: long non-coding RNA, 275 nt
Organism: Lolium rigidum
Lineage: Eukaryota; Viridiplantae; Streptophyta; Magnoliopsida; Poales; Poaceae
Exons: 2
Source: RefSeq, a predicted model, not a curated record
GUCUUCAAGUGUGUUCACCUGUUACUUCAGUGAACCGUAGUGGUCACUGGUGUAUAGGCUGGGCAGGCAGAUCACGAUCUGGAUGAGCAAGGAACAAGUGCAGCCUAGAACUACUGACAAUGUGGGUCGCUUGACAGUGUAUAUACAGUGUAGUGCAAUAAUGCCAUUGAAACAAGCCAAAGCUUUCCACUAUAGAUCACACGAUGCGACUAUGUGUAUAUGUAAAACACACUAGCUAACAAAUUGAUUGAUUUUAGCAUCGAUGUUGAAGCAAA